Non-coding RNA from Schizosaccharomyces pombe (fission yeast), 577 nucleotides. Lineage: Eukaryota; Fungi; Ascomycota; Schizosaccharomycetes; Schizosaccharomycetales; Schizosaccharomycetaceae. The record is from the annotation of a GenBank genome assembly.
UGCUCAGAGUUUUAAUUGCCGUGCGCGCUUCUUCAGCAGUAGAGUACUCAAUUAUCGCGCAUCCCUGAUAUAUUAGCUAGACUAUUCACAAUCUGAGUAUACGACAAAUUUUAGGAUAAGCUAUAGGCCAUAAGUAAUCGUUUAAAAGUAACGUUCAAUUGGAUCGAUUCAACGUUACAAUUUAAAUAGACAAUGAUUUACUAGUCGCAUGAAACCCACCCUCUAUGAAGCAAACUUACCUUCGAUAAUCCAUUCGGAAGAUUCAAAAUCUCACAAUUAAGAACAUUGCCAACUUGUCCCAUAAACUCUUUCAACUCAAACCAACGAACUUGAUAUGACAAAUUACCAACAUACACGCGACGCUCUUGUUGAGUGUACUUUUGGCCAUUUCCCAAGUGAGGGUCUCUUUCAGUGUGCUCUCCAUCAAAAUGCAAGCCACGUUUCAAUGAAUUGCUUCCGUUGACAUGUCGCUUCGGAGACUCCGAUCUGUCACGAUCCAUAUUGGAAGACGAUGAAUUCAAGGAACUUGACACAUCCAACUUACUACCCAUUCCUGAAUCAAAUUCAUUCUAUUUGA